Molecule: ribosomal RNA, 462 nt
Filed under: uncultured soil bacterium
Lineage: Bacteria
Description: bacterial SSU rRNA
Rfam family: Bacterial small subunit ribosomal RNA
Source: RNAcentral
GGGGCAGCAUGACUGUAGCAAUACAGUUGAUGGCGACCGGCAAACGGGUGCGGAACACGUACACAACCUUCCUUCAAGUGGGGAAUAGCCCAGAGAAAUUUGGAUUAAUACCCCGUAAUAUAUAGAAGUGGCAUCACUUUUAUCUUAUAGCUCAGGCGCUUGAUGAUGGGUGUGCGGCUGAUUAGGUAGUUGGCGGGGUAACGGCCCACCAAGCCUACGAUCAGUAACUGGUGUGAGAGCACGACCAGUCACACGGGCACUGAGACACGGGCCCGACUCCUACGGGAGGCAGCAGUAAGGAAUAUUGGUCAAUGGACGCAAGUCUGAACCAGCCAUGCCGCGUGGAGGAUGAAGGCCCUCUGGGUUGUAAACUUCUUUUAUAUGGGACGAAAAAGGGUCUUUCUAGAUCAACUGACGGUACCAUGUGAAUAAGCACCGGCUAACUCCGUGCCAGCAGCCGCG